GAGGUAUUCGUCACUGCACCUGCGGAUCGGAACGAGGCCGGGCACCGCGCCAAGGCCUCGCUCCUGCUAUCUCCCUUUAUACUCACAGGAAUCCUGAUGGAGGUAUUAUGCGGAUCACCUUGUUACAGAUGAGGAAGCUGAUGUUCUGAGAGGGCCAAAGAUCAUACAGCUAGUGAUGGGCAGAGCAAGACGCCAGCCUGUGCCUGUUUGAGUCCAAAGGUUAUCCUUUAACUGUUUCGUCUCACAGAUCCCUACAAGUCCCAGGCGAAAAAAGAGAGAGAGAGAGAAACAAUAAGGAAAAAACUACCUCAUCUUCUCAUCACCAAACCCACCAGUCUGCCUGCGUCAGCACCCAAAUGCUCCGCCUUUCCUCCUGUGACCACAAAUGCACCUUCUCUGAUCCUCUGUAAGGCAAUCCUG
RNAcentral lists this long non-coding RNA (420 nucleotides) under Equus asinus (donkey). RNAcentral's name for it is "lncRNA (ENSEASG00005032800.1)". The record is from RNAcentral. Lineage: Eukaryota; Metazoa; Chordata; Mammalia; Perissodactyla; Equidae.